AGAGUUUGAUUAUGGCUCAGGAUGAACGCUAGCUACAGGCUUAACACAUGCAAGUCGAGGGGCAGCAUGGUCUUAGCUUGCUAAGGCCGAUGGCGACCGGCGCACGGGUGAGUAACGCGUAUCCAACCUGCCUUACACUCUUGGACAGCCUUCUGAAAGGGAGAUUAAUACAAGAUGUUAUCAUGAGUAAGCAUUUUCACAUGAUUAAAGGUUUACCGGUGUAAGAUGGGGAUGCGUUCCAUUAGAUAGUAGGCGGGGUAACGGCCCACCUAGUCUUCGAUGGAUAGGGGUUCUGAGAGGAAGGUCCCCCACAUUGGAACUGAGACACGGUCCAAACUCCUACGGGAGGCAGCAGUGAGGAAUAUUGGUCAAUGGACGAGAGUCUGAACCAGCCAAGUAGCGUGAAGGAUGAAGGUUCUAUGGAUUGUAAACUUCUUUUAUACGGGAA
This 448-nucleotide ribosomal RNA is filed under the name uncultured bacterium. RNAcentral describes it as "bacterial SSU rRNA". It matches the Rfam family "Bacterial small subunit ribosomal RNA", at positions 8 to 446 of the family's 1533-position model. The record is from RNAcentral.